RNAcentral lists this long non-coding RNA (531 nucleotides) under Chinchilla lanigera (long-tailed chinchilla). Its description in RNAcentral is "lncRNA (ENSCLAG00000027990.1)". Lineage: Eukaryota; Metazoa; Chordata; Mammalia; Rodentia; Chinchillidae. The record is from RNAcentral.
ACUGUUCUCUCAAACUCCUGCCUGUUUUCUGGGGUGGCCAGGAUGACCAGGACGUUCGGAGAGUAUAAAGCAGUGGUGGUGAAUCUGUGGCAUGCAUGCUGCAGCAGGCUGUCUGCUAUUGAAAACUCGGCAAAGUUUGUCUCUCCGGUAUAAAGUGUGCACAUCACUCCAGAAACACCACUUUCAGACCAGAAGCUGUGGCUGAGAUUUCCCCGUCCCAGAUCCCAGCCCUGCCCCUGGCUCUGGCAUGGGACUGAGCAGCCACAAUGAAAAAAUACAGAAAUAUCGGAUUGCUGUGAAAUGUCAGAGACCCCAAGAAUCAGAGCACCAUCCUUCUGGCAGUGGCUCCUUAUCUACGCGAGACACCUUUGUAGACCUAUUAUCAUAGCUGACCAUAUUUGAUUACAAAAAGAAGAAAGAAGAAGAAGAAAGAGGAGGAGGAGAAGGAGGAGGAGGAGGAGUGAAAUCAUGGGUAGGUAAGAACUCUUGCAUAAAUUUUGCAUUAUUUCUUUGGUAAACAAUAACAACAUC